CUCGGGGAGGCGAUCGGAGGCUCAGAGAAGCUAUGAUGACUGCCUAUACGAGAUGCACCUAAAGAGUCUAGAGAGAGAUCGAUGGAGGUGAUGCAUUUCUAUUCUUAUUGUUAUAGUUAUAAGGCAAGCUUGGAUAGUCUGUUACAUCGCAGACAACCGCUUCUAGCCACCUCAUGGUUAAAGGUGGAGAAGAACUUGCAAUGUCUUAUUUUUCAAUGGCAGAUCUAAGCCUUCUUCUUUUUCAAUUACAAUAAGUUUUUAAUUUCAAUUAACUUAGUCACAAACCAU
This 288-nucleotide long non-coding RNA is filed under the name Elaeis guineensis (African oil palm). RNAcentral describes it as "long non-coding RNA (EGUI_LNC050380)". The record is from RNAcentral. Lineage: Eukaryota; Viridiplantae; Streptophyta; Magnoliopsida; Arecales; Arecaceae.